This 300-nucleotide long non-coding RNA is filed under the name Oryza sativa Indica Group (long-grained rice). RNAcentral's name for it is "lncRNA OsZS97_05G004110". Lineage: Eukaryota; Viridiplantae; Streptophyta; Magnoliopsida; Poales; Poaceae. The record is from RNAcentral.
CCACUAAAAAGCCGCCAGUUGGAACUUUACGCCUUCCAUAGGGACGUUCGCGGUUUACUAUCCCCGACGUCGGACCGUUGGUUCCCGGCAAAAACCAAACCUAAGGUCGAAGUGCUGCUCCUGGCACCCCACGCCUUGAUGCGUAUAGCGGUCGGAGCUUCACUAUUCCCUCGACCUCCACAGCACGCCACACAGUUAGCUCUCGGGCUCUGUGUGAUCUUAGCCGCUCCGCCGCCACUCACGGUUGUCGGAGUAACACUUCCGCCCCACCAAACCUACACCAACCUCAUAUUCCUCUAG